GACGAACGCUGGCGGCGUGCUUAACACAUGCAAGUCGAACGGAAAGGCCCUGCUUUUGUGGGGUGCUCGAGUGGCGAACGGGUGAGUAACACGUGAGUAACCUGCCCCUGACUUUGGGAUAACUUCAGGAAACUGGGGCUAAUACCGGAUAGGAGCUCCUGCUGCAUGGUGGGGGUGGGAAAGUUUCGGCGGUUGGGGAUGGACUCGCGGCUUAUCAGCUUGUUGGUUGGGUAGUGGAUUACCAAGGCUUGGACGGGUAGCCGGCCUGAGAGGGUGACCGGCCACAUUGGGACUGAGCUACGACCCAGCCUCCUACGGGAGGCAGCGGUGGGGAAUAUUGCACAAUGGGCGGAAGCCUGAUGCAGCAACGCCGCGUGCGGGAUGACGGCCUUCGGGUUGUAAACCACUUUCGCCUGUGACGAAGCGUGAGUGACGGUAAUGGGUAAAGAAGCACCGGCUAACUACGUG
This 468-nucleotide ribosomal RNA is filed under the name uncultured bacterium. RNAcentral describes it as "partial 16S ribosomal RNA". It matches the Rfam family "Bacterial small subunit ribosomal RNA", at positions 28 to 507 of the family's 1533-position model. The record is from RNAcentral.